CUGCUGCCUUCCGUAGGAGUUUGGGCCGUGUCUCAGUCCCAAUGUGGCCGUUCACCCUCUCAGGCCGGCACUGAUCGUUGCCUUGGUAGGCCAUUACCCCACCAACUAGCUAAUCAGACGCGGAACCAUCGUAUACCACCAGAGUUUUUCACACCGCUUCAUGCGAAGCUGUGCGCUUAUGCGGUAUUAGCACCUAUUUCUAAGUGUUAUCCCCCAGUAUACGGCAGGUUUUCCACGCGUUACUCACCCGUCCGCCA
RNAcentral lists this ribosomal RNA (257 nucleotides) under uncultured bacterium. Its description in RNAcentral is "partial 16S ribosomal RNA". The record is from RNAcentral.